AUGUCGGCGGCCGAGGGGAGGAAGACGGCGUGCGUCACCGGAGGGAGCGGCUACAUCGCUUCAGCACUCAUCAAGCUGCUGCUUGAGAAAGGCUGCGCUGUAAAGACGACUGUCAGAGACCCUGAUAACGUGGAGAAGAACUCUCACCUCAAGGACUUGCGAACACUUGGCCCCUUGGAGAUCGUCCAUGCUCAGCUGGAUGAAGAAGGCAGCUUUGAUAACGCAGUUUCCGGCUGCGACUACGUCUUCCUCGUCGCAGCUCCUGUUAAACGAUGUACAUACGGUAUCCUAUAA
RNAcentral lists this ribosomal RNA (294 nucleotides) under Triticum aestivum (bread wheat). RNAcentral describes it as "partial small subunit ribosomal RNA". The record is from RNAcentral. Lineage: Eukaryota; Viridiplantae; Streptophyta; Magnoliopsida; Poales; Poaceae.